AGCAUCAGCGCCGAGACGCUAUUGGCGUUCGCAGGGAGAGAAACAUCGAAGAGCGGGCGCACCUGCUGCCUUUUACCGCACCGGACUUGUCAGUAGUAUAAAGAUGGUAACUCCUCCAGGAGCAUCCAGGACAUGCGACUCAAUUGGGUAGAAAACUAUUGCAUUGCUACAUGGCUCUUGGGAGCCUCCUGCCCGUGGAACACUCAUCUGCCUUUCCCUUUCACAAGGCAUCAACACAAGAAACUGUUUUGUACAGCAAAAGCCAGUGACCAGCAGUGGCUCAAGGCAGAACAAAAGGAAAUGGAAAAUCAAGCAACCCAAACAAGAGAGGGGAAGCUCUCACCAAGUACUGAUUCCACCUUGCAGACAGGCAGAUCCUGUGCUUGGAGAGGGCACAGCGAAGUCAAACGUCUUUAAUGAUACCCCUCCCUCAGAUCCAGCUUGAGUGAACACCAAGAAUCACUGUCACAGUGCAACUGCACUGAUGAAGAAUACAUCACACCCAAAAGGUGAAACUGGUUUACCAAGUAGCCUUCAUCAGCUUGAGGACAACUUUUGUGGUUACCUGCAGUCAAAAAACCCUUACAUAUGCCCUUCUGUUGCAAAGAAGUUCCCUGAAAAGUUUCUUAGUGCACAGUAACCUUAUGUUGCUGCCAAUAGUUUAACCUGGGUGUUUUGCAAAUGAGCUUACCAACGACCAAGGUAGCUCAAGUGAGAAGCCUUAGUUGGUACUCAGCAAAACUGCCUGUUUGUCUUGCCCACAGGAGUAUAAGCAGCCUUAAAGUACAGGCAGUGACAGUACAGCCCCUUAAAGACUCCUUCAUUUCAGGGAGACAAGAGUCAGAGGCUUUUAGCAUUACAGGUAACUCGUUUGCUUAUAAUCAGGUAUUUUAAGUUAACCAAGGAAUUUCAAAGAGCCACAUCUCUAGCUACACUAGGCAGAGUAUGCUGUAUACGUGAAGACUACUACUUGUUUGCAGAGCUAAGAACAUUGCAAAAAGGCACACUGCACCAUCAGCUAGAGCUGCCAUGGAGACCGC
Pogoniulus pusillus (Red-fronted tinkerbird) is the source of this 1040-nucleotide long non-coding RNA. RefSeq lists it as uncharacterized. The transcript has 3 exons. Lineage: Eukaryota; Metazoa; Chordata; Aves; Piciformes; Lybiidae. The record is from RefSeq and is a predicted model, not a curated record.